GGGUUGUGAGGUUAAGCGACUAAGCGUACACGGUGGAUGCCCUGGCAGUCAGAGGCGAUGAAGGACGUGCUAAUCUGCGAUAAGCGUCGGUAAGGUGAUAUGAACCGUUAUAACCGGCGAUUUCCGAAUGGGGAAACCCAGUGUGUUUCGACACACUAUCAUUAACUGAAUCCAUAGGUUAAUGAGGCGAACCGGGGGAACUGAAACAUCUAAGUACCCCGAGGAAAAGAAAUCAACCGAGAUUCCCCCAGUAGCGGCGAGCGAACGGGGAGGAGCCCAGAGCCUGAAUCAGUGUGUGUGUUAGUGGAAGCGUCUGGAAAGGCGCGCGAUACAGGGUGACAGCCCCGUACACAAAAAUGCACAUACUGUGAGCUCGAUGAGUAGGGCGGGACACGUGGUAUCCUGUCUGAAUAUGGGGGGGACCAUCCUCCAAGGCUAAAUACUCCUGACUGACCGAUAGUGAACCAGUACCGUGAGGGAAAGGCGAAAAGAACCCCGGCGAGGGGAGUGAAAAAGAACCUGAAACCGUGUACGUACAAGCAGUGGGAGCACAGAGCAAUCUGUGUGACUGCGUACCUUUUGUAUAAUGGGUCAGCGACUUAUAUUCUGUAGCAAGGUUAACCGAAUAGGGGAGCCGAAGGGAAACCGAGUCUUAACUGGGCGUUAAGUUGCAGGGUAUAGACCCGAAACCCGGUGAUCUAGCCAUGGGCAGGUUGAAGGUUGGGUAACACUAACUGGAGGACCGAACCGACUAAUGUUGAAAAAUUAGCGGAUGACUUGUGGCUGGGGGUGAAAGGCCAAUCAAACCGGGAGAUAGCUGGUUCUCCCCGAAAGCUAUUUAGGUAGCGCCUCGUGAAUUCAUCUCCGGGGGUAGAGCACUGUUUCGGCAAGGGGGUCAUCCCGACUUACCAACCCGAUGCAAACUGCGAAUACCGGAGAAUGUUAUCACGGGAGACACACGGCGGGUGCUAACGUCCGUCGUGAAGAGGGAAACAACCCAGACCGCCAGCUAAGGUCCCAAAGUCAUGGUUAAGUGGGAAACGAUGUGGGAAGGCCCAGACAGCCAGGAUGUUGGCUUAGAAGCAGCCAUCAUUUAAAGAAAGCGUAAUAGCUCACUGGUCGAGUCGGCCUGCGCGGAAGAUGUAACGGGGCUAAACCAUGCACCGAAGCUGCGGCAGCGACACUGUGUGUUGUUGGGUAGGGGAGCGUUCUGUAAGCCUGUGAAGGUGUGCUGUGAGGCAUGCUGGAGGUAUCAGAAGUGCGAAUGCUGACAUAAGUAACGAUAAAGCGGGUGAAAAGCCCGCUCGCCGGAAGACCAAGGGUUCCUGUCCAACGUUAAUCGGGGCAGGGUGAGUCGACCCCUAAGGCGAGGCCGAAAGGCGUAGUCGAUGGGAAACAGGUUAAUAUUCCUGUACUUGGUGUUACUGCGAAGGGGGGACGGAGAAGGCUAUGUUGGCCGGGCGACGGUUGUCCCGGUUUAAGCGUGUAGGCUGGUUUUCCAGGCAAAUCCGGAAAAUCAAGGCUGAGGCGUGAUGACGAGGCACUACGGUGCUGAAGCAACAAAUGCCCUGCUUCCAGGAAAAGCCUCUAAGCAUCAGGUAACAUCAAAUCGUACCCCAAACCGACACAGGUGGUCAGGUAGAGAAUACCAAGGCGCUUGAGAGAACUCGGGUGAAGGAACUAGGCAAAAUGGUGCCGUAACUUCGGGAGAAGGCACGCUGAUAUGUAGGUGAAGUCCCUCGCGGAUGGAGCUGAAAUCAGUCGAAGAUACCAGCUGGCUGCAACUGUUUAUUAAAAACACAGCACUGUGCAAACACGAAAGUGGACGUAUACGGUGUGACGCCUGCCCGGUGCCGGAAGGUUAAUUGAUGGGGUCAGCGCAAGCGAAGCUCUUGAUCGAAGCCCCGGUAAACGGCGGCCGUAACUAUAACGGUCCUAAGGUAGCGAAAUUCCUUGUCGGGUAAGUUCCGACCUGCACGAAUGGCGUAAUGAUGGCCAGGCUGUCUCCACCCGAGACUCAGUGAAAUUGAACUCGCUGUGAAGAUGCAGUGUACCCGCGGCAAGACGGAAAGACCCCGUGAACCUUUACUAUAGCUUGACACUGAACAUUGAGCCUUGAUGUGUAGGAUAGGUGGGAGGCUUUGAAGUGUGGACGCCAGUCUGCAUGGAGCCGACCUUGAAAUACCACCCUUUAAUGUUUGAUGUUCUAACGUGGACCCGUGAUCCGGGUUGCGGACAGUGUCUGGUGGGUAGUUUGACUGGGGCGGUCUCCUCCUAAAGAGUAACGGAGGAGCACGAAGGUUGGCUAAUCCUGGUCGGACAUCAGGAGGUUAGUGCAAUGGCAUAAGCCAGCUUGACUGCGAGCGUGACGGCGCGAGCAGGUGCGAAAGCAGGUCAUAGUGAUCCGGUGGUUCUGAAUGGAAGGGCCAUCGCUCAACGGAUAAAAGGUACUCCGGGGAUAACAGGCUGAUACCGCCCAAGAGUUCAUAUCGACGGCGGUGUUUGGCACCUCGAUGUCGGCUCAUCACAUCCUGGGGCUGAAGUAGGUCCCAAGGGUAUGGCUGUUCGCCAUUUAAAGUGGUACGCGAGCUGGGUUUAGAACGUCGUGAGACAGUUCGGUCCCUAUCUGCCGUGGGCGCUGGAGAACUGAGGGGGGCUGCUCCUAGUACGAGAGGACCGGAGUGGACGCAUCACUGGUGUUCGGGUUGUCAUGCCAAUGGCACUGCCCGGUAGCUAAAUGCGGAAGAGAUAAGUGCUGAAAGCAUCUAAGCACGAAACUUGCCCCGAGAUGAGUUCUCCCUGACCCUUUAAGGGUCCUGAAGGAACGUUGAAGACGACGACGUUGAUAGGCCGGGUGUGUAAGCGCAGCGAUGCGUUGAGCUAACCGGUACUAAUGAACCGUGAGGCUUAACCUUACAACGCCGAAGGUGUUU
RNAcentral lists this ribosomal RNA (2933 nucleotides) under Escherichia coli O55:H7. RNAcentral's name for it is "23S ribosomal RNA". It matches the Rfam family "Bacterial large subunit ribosomal RNA". The record is from RNAcentral. Lineage: Bacteria; Pseudomonadati; Pseudomonadota; Gammaproteobacteria; Enterobacterales; Enterobacteriaceae.